GACGAACGCUGGCGGCGUGCUUAACACAUGCCAGUCGAACGGUGAAGCGACUUCCUUUUUGGUGGGUGUGGAUGAGUGGCGAACGGGUGAGUAACACGUGAGUAACCUGCCCCCUUCUUCUGGAUAACCGCAUGAAAGUGUGGCUAAUACGGGAUAUUCUGGGUCUGUCGCAUGAUGGGUCUGGGAAAGAUAUUGUUUCGGUGGGGGAUGGGCUCGCGGCCUAUCAGCUUGUUGGUGGGGUGAUGGCCUACCAAGGCGGUGACGGGUAGCCGGCCUGAGAGGGUGGACGGUCACACUGGGACUGAGACACGGCCCAGACUCCUACGGGAGGCAGCAGUGGGGAAUAUUGCACAAUGGGCGCAAGCCUGAUGCAGCGACGCCGCGUGAGGGAUGGAGGCCUUCGGGUUGUGAACCUCUUUCGCCAGUGAAGCAGGCCUGCCUCGUUUGUGGGUGGGUUGACGGUAGCUGGAUAAGAAGCGCCGGCUAACUACGUG
RNAcentral lists this ribosomal RNA (494 nucleotides) under uncultured bacterium. RNAcentral's name for it is "partial 16S ribosomal RNA". It matches the Rfam family "Bacterial small subunit ribosomal RNA", at positions 28 to 507 of the family's 1533-position model. The record is from RNAcentral.